Molecule: ribosomal RNA, 396 nt
Filed under: uncultured Filosa
Lineage: Eukaryota; Cercozoa
Description: partial small subunit ribosomal RNA
Rfam family: Eukaryotic small subunit ribosomal RNA
Source: RNAcentral
GCUUGUCUCAAAGAUUAAGCCAUGCAUGUCUCAGUAUAAGUUCCUGUACGGCGAAACUGCGAAUGGCUCAUUAUAUCAGUUAUAGUUUAUUUGAUGGUGACUUACUACAUGGAUAACCGUAGUAACCUAGAGCUAAUACAUGCACAAAAUCCCGACUUCACGGAAGGGAUGUAUUUAUUAGAUAAAAAACCAAUCCGGCAACGGUGCUUGGUGAUUCAUAAUAACUGUUCGAAGCGCACGGCCUCGCGCCGGCGCUAGUUCAUUCAAAUUUCUGCCCUAUCAGCUUUCGACGGUAGUGUAGUGGACUACCGUGGCGCUAACGGGUGACGGAGAAUUAGGGUUCGGUUCCGGAGAGGGAGCCUGAGAAACGGCUACCACAUCCAAGGAAGGCAGCAG